This 232-nucleotide ribosomal RNA is filed under the name uncultured bacterium. Its description in RNAcentral is "partial 16S ribosomal RNA". It matches the Rfam family "Bacterial small subunit ribosomal RNA", at positions 99 to 334 of the family's 1533-position model. The record is from RNAcentral.
CGGACGGGUGAGUAAUGUCUGGGAAACUGCCUGAUGGAGGGGGAUAACUACUGGAAACGGUAGCUAAUACCGCAUAACGUCGCAAGGCCAAAGAGGGGGACCUUCGGGCCUCUUGCCAUCGGAUGUGCCCAGAUGGGAUUAGCUAGUAGGUGGGGUAACGGCUCACCUAGGCGACGAUCCCUAGCUGGUCUGAGAGGAUGACCAGCCACACUGGAACUGAGACACGGUCCAG